RNAcentral lists this long non-coding RNA (414 nucleotides) under Salmo salar (Atlantic salmon). Its description in RNAcentral is "lncRNA (ENSSSAG00000105211.1)". The record is from RNAcentral. Lineage: Eukaryota; Metazoa; Chordata; Actinopteri; Salmoniformes; Salmonidae.
GCAGCUUAAAGAGGGCCAUGGACAUGCCCUGGAAACCCACAUACACUAUCUGGUGUGUGACAUGUACCAACAGUUACAUAUUAACCAGAGUCUGGGAUAGUAGGACUUAGGUUAUGUGGGCUGGUGUAUAUAACUUUCUGAACGGUCAUUUAUUUGCUGUAUUUAUUAAGUAUUUUAUUAAUCAUCAUCAUAUUGUAGCGUAUGGCGGGAAGCGAAAACCUGAUCGCUGGCGUGAAAGGCAAACACCCUAGGUUCAUAGAGUAUCAGUCUGUUUGAACUGUGAACACCCUGGGUUCAUAGAGUAUCAGUCUGUUUGAACUGUGAACACCCUAGGUUCAUAGAGUAUCAGUCUGUUUGAACUGUGAACACCCUAGGUUCAUAGAGUAUCAGUCUGUUUGAACUGUGAACACCCUG